UACGGGGGGGGCAAGCGUUGUUCGGAAUUACUGGGCGUAAAGCGCGCGUAGGCGGCUUUUCAAGUCAGACGUGAAAGCCCCAGGCUUAACCUGGGAAUUGCGUUUGAUACUGUUAAGCUAGAGUGUGGAAGGGGCUACUGGAAUUCCGUGUGUAGCGGUGAAAUGCUUAGAUAUGACAUAGAACACCAAUUGCGAAGGCAGCUGGCUACGCGAAUAUUGACACUGAGGCACGAAAGCGUGGGGAUCAAACAGG
Molecule: ribosomal RNA, 253 nt
Filed under: uncultured bacterium
Lineage: Bacteria
Description: partial 16S ribosomal RNA
Rfam family: Bacterial small subunit ribosomal RNA
Source: RNAcentral